UACGUAUGGAGCAAGCGUUAUCCGGAUUUACUGGGUGUAAAGGGAGCGCAGGCGGCUUUGCAAGUCUGAUGUGUAAGGCCGGGGCUCAACCCCGGGACUGCAUUGGAAACUGUAAAGCUAGAGUGCCGGAGAGGUAAGCGGAAUUCCUAGUGUAGCGGUGAAAUGCGUAGAUAUUAGGAGGAACACCAGUGGCGAAGGCGGCUUACUGGACGGCAACUGACGCUGAGGCUCGAAAGCGUGGGGAGCAAACAGG
Molecule: ribosomal RNA, 253 nt
Filed under: uncultured bacterium
Lineage: Bacteria
Description: partial 16S ribosomal RNA
Rfam family: Bacterial small subunit ribosomal RNA
Source: RNAcentral